UGGGGAAUAUUGCACAAUGGGCGCAAGCCUGAUGCAGCCAUGCCGCGUGUAUGAAGAAGGCCUUCGGGUUGUAAAGUACUUUCAGCGGGGAGGAAGGGAGUAAAGUUAAUACCUUUGCUCAUUGACGUUACCCGCAGAAGAAGCACCGGCUAACUCCGUGCCAGCAGCCGCGGUAAUACGGAGGGUGCAAGCGUUAAUCGGAAUUACUGGGCGUAAAGCGCACGCAGGCGGUUUGUUAAGUCAGAUGUGAAAUCCCCGGGCUCAACCUGGGAACUGCAUCUGAUACUGGCAAGCUUGAGUCUCGUAGAGGGGGGUAGAAUUCCAGGUGUAGCGGUGAAGUGCGUAGAGAUCUGGGGGAAUACCGGUGGCGAAGGCGGCCCCCUGGACGAAGACUGACGCUCAGGUGCGAAGGCGUGGGGAGCAAACAGG
Molecule: ribosomal RNA, 429 nt
Filed under: Chloroflexota bacterium
Lineage: Bacteria; Bacillati; Chloroflexota
Description: Chloroflexi bacterium partial 16S ribosomal RNA
Rfam family: Bacterial small subunit ribosomal RNA
Source: RNAcentral